This 72-nucleotide transfer RNA is filed under the name Dipodomys ordii (Ord's kangaroo rat). It matches the Rfam family "tRNA". From Rfam's summary of the family: Transfer RNA (tRNA) molecules are approximately 80 nucleotides in length. Their secondary structure includes four short double-helical elements and three loops (D, anti-codon, and T loops). Lineage: Eukaryota; Metazoa; Chordata; Mammalia; Rodentia; Heteromyidae. The record is from Rfam by way of RNAcentral.
GGGAAGGUGGCUCAGUGGUAGAGCGCUUGCCUUGCAUGCUCAAGGCCCUGGGUUCCAUUCCUUGCCUUGCAU